AUGAACGCUGGCGGCGUGCCUAAUACAUGCCAGUCGAGCGAACAGACGAGGAGCUUGCUCCUCUGACGUUAGCGGCGGACGGGUGAGUAACACGUGGAUAACCUACCUAUAAGACUGGGAUAACUUCGGGAAACCGGAGCUAAUACCGGAUAAUAUAUUGAACCGCAUGGUUCAAUAGUGAAAGACGGUUUUGCUGUCACUUAUAGAUGGAUCCGCGCCGUAUUAGCUAGUUGGUAAGGUAACGGCUUACCAAGGCAACGAUGCGUAGCCGACCUGAGAGGGUGAUCGGCCACACUGGAACUGAGACACGGUCCAGACUCCUACGGGAGGCAGCAGUAGGGAAUCUUCCGCAAUGGGCGAAAGCCUGACGGAGCAACGCCGCGUGAGUGAUGAAGGUCUUCGGAUCGUAAAACUCUGUUAUUAGGGAAGAACAAAUGUGUAAGUAACUAUGCACGUCUUGACGGUACCUAAUCAGAAAGCCACGGCUAACUACGUG
Molecule: ribosomal RNA, 496 nt
Filed under: uncultured bacterium
Lineage: Bacteria
Description: partial 16S ribosomal RNA
Rfam family: Bacterial small subunit ribosomal RNA
Source: RNAcentral